AACGCUAGCUACAGGCUUAACACAUGCAAGUCGAGGGGAAACGACAUCGAAAGCUUGCUUUUGAUUGGCGUCGACCGGCGCACGGGUGAGUAACGCGUAUCCAACCUGCCCACCACUUGGGGAUAACCUUGCGAAAGUAAGACUAAUACCCAAUGAUAUCUCUAGAAGACAUCUGAAAGGGAUUAAAGAUUUAUCGGUGAUGGAUGGGGAUGCGUCUGAUUAGCUUGUUGGCGGGGUAACGGCCCACCAAGGCUACGAUCAGUAGGGGUUCUGAGAGGAAGGUCCCCCACAUUGGAACUGAGACACGGUCCAAACUCCUACGGGAGGCAGCAGUGAGGAAUAUUGGUCAAUGGACGAGAGUCUGAACCAGCCAAGUAGCGUGCAGGAUGACGGCCCUGUGAGUUGUAAACUGCUUUUAUAAGGGAAUAAAGUGAGUCUCGUGAGACUUUUUGCAUGUACCUUAUGAAUAAGGACCGGCUAAUUCCGUGCCAGCAGCCGCGGUAAUACGGAAGGUCCGGGCGUUAUCCGGAUUUAUUGGGUUUAAAGGGAGCGUAGGCCGGAGAUUAAGCGUGUUGUGAAAUGUAGAUGCUCAACAUCUGCACUGCAGCGCGAACUGGUUUCCUUGAGUACGCACAAAGUGGGCGGAAUUCGUGGUGUAGCGGUGAAAUGCUUAGAUAUCACGAAGAACUCCGAUUG
RNAcentral lists this ribosomal RNA (696 nucleotides) under uncultured bacterium. RNAcentral describes it as "bacterial SSU rRNA". It matches the Rfam family "Bacterial small subunit ribosomal RNA", at positions 32 to 715 of the family's 1533-position model. The record is from RNAcentral.